CUUCCACCAGCCGUGUUCCAAUGCCAUAUCCCCUGUGGAUGAAGGAUACAGUGGUCUGCACAUGUUAGCUGGAAGACAAUGGCUGGGUGAAACUCCUUGUGCAUCUGUACCAUACCUCAGGACCCCACAUAUGCCAAGGAGACACUUGAGGUGGACCGUACUGCUGCCAUGGAACCAUUUAAUGUGUAGAAUUUUCAACUUGAAU
Molecule: long non-coding RNA, 205 nt
Organism: Octodon degus (degu)
Lineage: Eukaryota; Metazoa; Chordata; Mammalia; Rodentia; Octodontidae
Exons: 3
Source: RefSeq, a predicted model, not a curated record